CUGACCGUGCAAAGGUAGCAUAAUCAUUUGCCUUAUAACUGAAGGCUAGUAUGAAUGGUUUGACAAGAGUGUGACUGUCUCUUUACAAUUAAUUAAAAUUUUAUUUUCAGGUGAAGAAGCCUGUAUAUAAUUGAAAGACAAGAAGACCCUAUCGAGCUUAAAAAGAAUUAAUAAACCUAAUUUUCAAUAAGAUAUUAGAUCUGUUUAUUAUAUACUUUAGUUGGGGCGACUAAGGAACAAUUAAAGCUUCCUUUAUUAUGAAAACUAAACUGACAAGUUUUGAUCCAAAAGCUUUGAUUAAAGAAAUUAGUUACCGUAGGGAUAACAGCAUUAUUCUCUUUGAGAGCUCUUAUCGAAAAGAGAGUUUGUGACCUCGAUGUUGGACCAGAAUGUCCUAAAGAUGCAGCCGUCUUUAAGGGUUGGUCUGUUCGACCAUUAAAAUUCUACGUGAAAAA
This 455-nucleotide ribosomal RNA is filed under the name Chicoreus sp. SZ-2011. RNAcentral describes it as "partial 16S ribosomal RNA". It matches the Rfam family "Bacterial large subunit ribosomal RNA", at positions 1942 to 2612 of the family's 2925-position model. The record is from RNAcentral. Lineage: Eukaryota; Metazoa; Mollusca; Gastropoda; Neogastropoda; Muricidae.